UUUACUGUCGACCACACUGUUAUGAAUUUCGUUCUAUAAUUCGCCAUACUUAUGAAUUUCAGACUGUAAUAAUCGGACAAUAAUAAGAAAUAUAUUUUCUCCCACGUACAUUUGCCAGAAUUUUGAUGUUUCCCAUACAAUGAAAAAUAAGUCGUGGUAUGGUUGCCAUUGAAACACUUUCAUCCAAGAGAUUGAUUGAUUUAUGAUUGCUUAAGCCUCGGUCACACCUUACCGGAUAGCUCGAACGGACGCCUAACGGAUAACUUUUUUUUCAAUCCGUUAGACGUCCGUCCAUAUCCGUUGCAUGUCCGUUAAGCGUCCGUUUUAUCCGUUGCAUGUCCGUUAAGCGUCCGUUUUAUCCGUCGACGUCCGUUCUGUCCGGUGGAAAAUUUUGAGCAUGUUCAAAACUUUGAACGGACGUCUAACGGAUAAAAUGUCCGUUGAACGUCCGUUAGACGUCCGUUAGGCGUCCGUUUUGUACGGUACUCGUCCGUUUCGUUUCCGUUUUGUAUCCGUUACGUGUCCGUUAUACAUCCGUUGGAGGUCUGGCAGAUAAAUUCACCAACGGACUUCUAACGGACGUCUAACGGAUAAAACGGAUGAGAAACGGACUUCUAACGGACGUAUAACGGACAUAACGGAUGAUGAACGGAUCUGAAACGGAUAAAAUUGAUGCCAAUUGAAAAUUUCUCGUCAGAAAUGCCAAAAAUAUUU
Molecule: long non-coding RNA, 714 nt
Filed under: Mytilus galloprovincialis (Mediterranean mussel)
Lineage: Eukaryota; Metazoa; Mollusca; Bivalvia; Mytilida; Mytilidae
Source: RNAcentral